This 514-nucleotide ribosomal RNA is filed under the name uncultured bacterium. Its description in RNAcentral is "partial 16S ribosomal RNA". It matches the Rfam family "Bacterial small subunit ribosomal RNA", at positions 28 to 507 of the family's 1533-position model. The record is from RNAcentral.
GACGAACGCUGGCGGCGUGCUUAACACAUGCAAGUCGAACGAAAAGAGGGAAAGAGCUUGCUCUUUCCGGAAUUGAGUGGCAAACGGGUGAGUAACACGUAAACAACCUGCCUUCAGGAUGGGGACAACAGACGGAAACGACUGCUAAUACCGAAUAAGUUCCAAGGGCCGCAUGGCCCAUGGAAGAAAAGGUGGCCUCUACCUGUAAGCUAUCGCCUGAAGAGGGGUUUGCGUCUGAUUAGCUGGUUGGAGGGGGUAACGGCCCACCAAGGCGACGAUCAGUAGCCGGUCUGAGAGGAUGAACGGCCACACUGGAAUUGAGACACGGUCCAGACUCCUACGGGAGGCAGCAGUGGGGAAUCUUCCGCAAUGGGCGAAAGCCUGACGGAGCAACGCCGCGUGAGUGAUGACGGCCUUCGGGUUGUAAAACUCUGUGAUCCGGGACGAAAAGGCAGAGUGCGAAGAACAAACUGCAUUGACGGUACCGGAAAAGCAAGCCACGGCUAACUACGUG